Molecule: ribosomal RNA, 200 nt
Filed under: uncultured eukaryote
Lineage: Eukaryota
Description: partial 18S ribosomal RNA
Rfam family: Eukaryotic small subunit ribosomal RNA
Source: RNAcentral
GCUCCAAUAGCGUAUAUUUAAGUUGCUGCAGUUAAAAAGCUCGUAGUUGGAUUUCGGGUGGGGCCUGCCGGUCCGCCGUUUCGGUGUGCACUGGCCGGGCCACCUUGUUGCCGGGGACGAGCUCCUGGGCUUAUUGUCCGGGACUCGGAGUCGGCGAGGUUACUUUGAGUAAAUUAGAGUGUUCAAGCAAGCUUCACGCU